This is a long non-coding RNA of Pseudopipra pipra, 285 nucleotides long. RefSeq lists it as uncharacterized. The record is from RefSeq and is a predicted model, not a curated record. The transcript is spliced from 3 exons. Lineage: Eukaryota; Metazoa; Chordata; Aves; Passeriformes; Pipridae.
GCAGCAGACCUGCUGAUAAUGCUCAUUAUUCUGUGGUAAAUGAUACUCAGAUGUUCUGCAGCAGCAGGAAAUUCAAUGUAUAGGUACCAUUAAAGGCCUGAUUCCAUUUUCUAACUCCACAGUGCAAGUGAAUGCAUCCAACAGCCAGGGCAGCUUGAUAAGUGAUGCUGUAACAAUUGUCAGGCCUCCAGGAGGCUGUUCAGCACAUCUUUCAGUGAGCUCACCCUGUGUCUGUUCUUGGUUUUGGGUGGGGGGGGUGUUGUGGAUGGCAAGAGAUGAGAGAAG